This 496-nucleotide ribosomal RNA is filed under the name uncultured bacterium. Its description in RNAcentral is "partial 16S ribosomal RNA". It matches the Rfam family "Bacterial small subunit ribosomal RNA", at positions 28 to 506 of the family's 1533-position model. The record is from RNAcentral.
GAUGAACGCUGGCGGCGUGCCUAAUACAUGCAAGUCGAGCGAACGGACGAGAAGCUUGCUUUUCUGAUGUUAGCGGCGGACGGGUGAGUAACACGUGGAUAACCUACCUAUAAGACUGGGAUAACUUCGGGAAACCGGAGCUAAUACCGGAUAAUAUUUUGAACCGCAUGGUUCAAAAGUGAAAGACGGUCUUGCUGUCACUUAUAGAUGGAUCCGCGCUGCAUUAGCUAGUUGGUAAGGUAACGGCUUACCAAGGCAACGAUGCAUAGCCGACCUGAGAGGGUGAUCGGCCACACUGGAACUGAGACACGGUCCAGACUCCUACGGGAGGCAGCAGUAGGGAAUCUUCCGCACUGGGCGAAAGCCUGACGGAGCAACGCCGCGUGAGUGAUGAAGGUCUUCGGAUCGUAAAACUCUGUUAUUAGGGAAGAACAUAUGUGUAAGUAACUGUGCACAUCUUGACGGUACCUAAUCAGAAAGCCACGGCUAACUACGU